RNAcentral lists this ribosomal RNA (1536 nucleotides) under Enterobacter ludwigii. RNAcentral describes it as "bacterial SSU rRNA". It matches the Rfam family "Bacterial small subunit ribosomal RNA". Lineage: Bacteria; Pseudomonadati; Pseudomonadota; Gammaproteobacteria; Enterobacterales; Enterobacteriaceae. The record is from RNAcentral.
UUGAAGAGUUUGAUCAUGGCUCAGAUUGAACGCUGGCGGCAGGCCUAACACAUGCAAGUCGAACGGUAGCACAGAGAGCUUGCUCUCGGGUGACGAGUGGCGGACGGGUGAGUAAUGUCUGGGAAACUGCCUGAUGGAGGGGGAUAACUACUGGAAACGGUAGCUAAUACCGCAUAACGUCGCAAGACCAAAGAGGGGGACCUUCGGGCCUCUUGCCAUCAGAUGUGCCCAGAUGGGAUUAGCUAGUAGGUGGGGUAACGGCUCACCUAGGCGACGAUCCCUAGCUGGUCUGAGAGGAUGACCAGCCACACUGGAACUGAGACACGGUCCAGACUCCUACGGGAGGCAGCAGUGGGGAAUAUUGCACAAUGGGCGCAAGCCUGAUGCAGCCAUGCCGCGUGUAUGAAGAAGGCCUUCGGGUUGUAAAGUACUUUCAGCGGGGAGGAAGGUGUUGCGGUUAAUAACCGCAGCAAUUGACGUUACCCGCAGAAGAAGCACCGGCUAACUCCGUGCCAGCAGCCGCGGUAAUACGGAGGGUGCAAGCGUUAAUCGGAAUUACUGGGCGUAAAGCGCACGCAGGCGGUCUGUCAAGUCGGAUGUGAAAUCCCCGGGCUCAACCUGGGAACUGCAUUCGAAACUGGCAGGCUAGAGUCUUGUAGAGGGGGGUAGAAUUCCAGGUGUAGCGGUGAAAUGCGUAGAGAUCUGGAGGAAUACCGGUGGCGAAGGCGGCCCCCUGGACAAAGACUGACGCUCAGGUGCGAAAGCGUGGGGAGCAAACAGGAUUAGAUACCCUGGUAGUCCACGCCGUAAACGAUGUCGACUUGGAGGUUGUGCCCUUGAGGCGUGGCUUCCGGAGCUAACGCGUUAAGUCGACCGCCUGGGGAGUACGGCCGCAAGGUUAAAACUCAAAUGAAUUGACGGGGGCCCGCACAAGCGGUGGAGCAUGUGGUUUAAUUCGAUGCAACGCGAAGAACCUUACCUACUCUUGACAUCCAGAGAACUUUCCAGAGAUGGAUUGGUGCCUUCGGGAACUCUGAGACAGGUGCUGCAUGGCUGUCGUCAGCUCGUGUUGUGAAAUGUUGGGUUAAGUCCCGCAACGAGCGCAACCCUUAUCCUUUGUUGCCAGCGGUCCGGCCGGGAACUCAAAGGAGACUGCCAGUGAUAAACUGGAGGAAGGUGGGGAUGACGUCAAGUCAUCAUGGCCCUUACGAGUAGGGCUACACACGUGCUACAAUGGCGCAUACAAAGAGAAGCGAACUCGCGAGAGCAAGCGGACCUCAUAAAGUGCGUCGUAGUCCGGAUUGGAGUCUGCAACUCGACUCCAUGAAGUCGGAAUCGCUAGUAAUCGUAGAUCAGAAUGCUACGGUGAAUACGUUCCCGGGCCUUGUACACACCGCCCGUCACACCAUGGGAGUGGGUUGCAAAAGAAGUAGGUAGCUUAACCUUCGGGAGGGCGCUUACCACUUUGUGAUUCAUGACUGGGGUGAAGUCGUAACAAGGUAACCGUAGGGGAACCUGCGGUUGGAUCACCUCCUU